Molecule: ribosomal RNA, 458 nt
Filed under: Isospora sp.
Lineage: Eukaryota; Apicomplexa; Conoidasida; Eucoccidiorida; Eimeriidae
Description: SSU rRNA
Rfam family: Eukaryotic small subunit ribosomal RNA
Source: RNAcentral
AGUUUCUGACCUAUCAGCUUUCGACGGUAGGGUAUUGGCCUACCGUGGCAGUGACGGGUAACGGGGAAUUAGGGUUCGAUUCCGGAGAGGGAGCCUGAGAAACGGCUACCACAUCUAAGGAAGGCAGCAGGCGCGCAAAUUACCCAAUGAAAACAGUUUCGAGGUAGUGACGAGAAAUAACAAUACAGGGCAUUUUAUGUUCUGUAAUUGGAAUGAUGGGAAUGUAAAACCCUUUCAGAGUAACAAUUGGAGGGCAAGUCUGGUGCCAGCAGCCGCGGUAAUUCCAGCUCCAAUAGUGUAUAUUAGAGUUGUUGCAGUUAAAAAGCUCGUAGUUGGAUUUCUGUCGUGGUCAUCUGGCUCUGCCCGUAUGGGUUUGGGCCUGCAUGCCCUCGGCUUUCUCCCGGUGGGCCUCCGCGCUUCACUGCGUGUGGGGCUUGUUCUGGAACUUUUACUUUGAG